Molecule: long non-coding RNA, 366 nt
Filed under: Mytilus galloprovincialis (Mediterranean mussel)
Lineage: Eukaryota; Metazoa; Mollusca; Bivalvia; Mytilida; Mytilidae
Source: RNAcentral
UGUUAUUUGAUCGACAUUUGCGGGUGCCCACGAUUUUCGGCAAAAUAGAAUCUGGAAGAACCGAAAACACAGUCACCUAUUCAUUUCGCCAAAUGCAUUCAAUCCCAUUCAAAAAAGUUCAGUUUGAAAAAAAGCAAUCGAUGAUCGGCAAUAUUUCGAGGUUACAUUCUUCGUAGAUGCCAGCAAUUUAUGUUGCUAAGCGAACCAACCCAUGUUGUAAGAUAAUAUAUACAUUAAAUGGUAUGACAUUUAAAACUAUAGUGGGAAUACUACGUUCAAAGUAUAAACAUAAUGAAAUUGUGUCCUCAAUAUAAAAAAUGCUUGCCUUAUUUUCAACAUUUGGACUAUAGAUUAAAAAGAGAGAGA